CAGCUCUCCGCACUCUCUGCCUGCCUCUCUCUGCCUUUGUCUACCUGUCUCUGUGUCUCUCCCCAUCUCUCUCUAGAGUCCAGGACCUCCGCCUCCCCUCUUUUUCCUUCCCUCUCCCUAGUUCUAGGGUCCUAAUAGGAUGACCUCACACAAUAUUCCUGAGAGGGCCCCAUCCUCUGUUCAGCUGAGCACAGCAGAGGUAGGCAAGGGCACGCAGAAGGGAGAAGAUGUGAAGUGGAGGCCCUGAACCCAGAGCAGGCGGCUGCAGCU
RNAcentral lists this long non-coding RNA (270 nucleotides) under Homo sapiens (human). RNAcentral's name for it is "HSALNT0047229". Lineage: Eukaryota; Metazoa; Chordata; Mammalia; Primates; Hominidae. The record is from RNAcentral.